RNAcentral lists this transfer RNA (78 nucleotides) under Syntrophobacterales bacterium. RNAcentral's name for it is "tRNA-Asp". It matches the Rfam family "tRNA". From Rfam's summary of the family: Transfer RNA (tRNA) molecules are approximately 80 nucleotides in length. Their secondary structure includes four short double-helical elements and three loops (D, anti-codon, and T loops). RNAcentral also lists the same sequence under 1 other name. Lineage: Bacteria; Pseudomonadati; Thermodesulfobacteriota; Syntrophobacteria; Syntrophobacterales. The record is from RNAcentral.
GGGGUCGUAGUUAAGCCCGGUUAUAACGCCGGCCUGUCACGUCGGAGAGCGUGGGUUCAAAUCCCAUCGACCCCGCCA